AGCGAACGCUGGCGGUAGGCCUAACACAUGCAAGUCGAACGGCAGCACAGUAAGAGCUUGCUCUUACGGGUGGCGAGUGGCGGACGGGUGAGGAAUACAUCGGAAUCUACUUUUUCGUGGGGGAUAACGUAGGGAAACUUACGCUAAUACCGCAUACGACCUACGGGUGAAAGCAGGGGAUCUUCGGACCUUGCGCGAUUGAAUGAGCCGAUGUCGGAUUAGCUAGUUGGCGGGGUAAAGGCCCACCAAGGCGACGAUCCGAAGGUGGUCUGAGAGGAUGGUCACCCACCCGGGAAGUGAGAAAGGGUCCAGACUCCUACGGGAGGCCGCAGUGGGGAAUAUUGGACAAUGGAGGCGAGCCUAAUACAGCCAUACCGCGUGGAGGAUGAAGGCCUUAGGGUUGGAAAGCCCUUUUGUUGGGAGAGAAAAGCAGCAGGUUAAUACCCCGCUGUUCUGACGGUACCCAAAGAAUAAGCACCGGCUAACUUCGUG
RNAcentral lists this ribosomal RNA (492 nucleotides) under uncultured bacterium. Its description in RNAcentral is "partial 16S ribosomal RNA". It matches the Rfam family "Bacterial small subunit ribosomal RNA", at positions 29 to 507 of the family's 1533-position model. The record is from RNAcentral.